RNAcentral lists this ribosomal RNA (478 nucleotides) under uncultured bacterium. Its description in RNAcentral is "partial 16S ribosomal RNA". It matches the Rfam family "Bacterial small subunit ribosomal RNA", at positions 28 to 523 of the family's 1533-position model. The record is from RNAcentral.
GACGAACGCUGGCGGCGUGCUUAACACAUGCAAGUCGAACGGUAAGGCUCUUCGGGGUACACGAGUGGCGAACGGGUGAGUAACACGUGGGUGAUCUGCCCUGCACUUCGGGAUAAGCCUGGGAAACUGGGUCUAAUACCGGAUAGGACCACUGCCUGCAUGGGUGGUGGCGGAAAGCUUUUGCGGUGUGGGAUGGUCCCGCGGCCUAUCAGCUUGUUGGUGGGGUGAUGGCCUACCAAGGCGACGUCGGAUAGCCGGCCUGGAAGCGUGACCAGCGUCACGGGGACUGGGAGAAGGACAAGACUCGUACGGGGGGCCGCGUUCGGGAAUAUUGCACACUGGGCGCAGGCAUUAUGCAGCGACGCCGCGUGCGGGAUGACGGCCUUCGCGUUGUAAACGUCUUUCAGGACCGACGAGGCGCAAGUGACGGUAGGUGCAGAAGAAGGACCGGCCAACUACGUUCCAGCCGCUGCCGUAA